This 295-nucleotide unclassified non-coding RNA is filed under the name Ambisporaceae sp. RNAcentral describes it as "partial contains 5.8S ribosomal RNA and internal transcribed spacer 2". The stretch from base 1 to 71 matches the Rfam family "5.8S ribosomal RNA", at positions 84 to 154 of the family's 154-position model. The record is from RNAcentral. Lineage: Eukaryota; Fungi; Glomeromycota; Glomeromycetes; Archaeosporales; Ambisporaceae.
GUGAAUCAUCGAAUUUUUGAACGCAUAUUGCACUCUCUGGUAUUCCGGAGAGUAUGCCUAUUUGAGGGUCAUUUGUAAUAAUAUAAUUUCCAAGGUUUCUCUGACUUUAUAAUGGGUUGUCCAUUUUUUGUGGUAGCUUAAAAUCGAAGACGAGCGCAUUUUCCUGGUUUGCGUGAUACUUUUAGUUACCUCGCGACUUAACCAUGAAUCAUCGAGCGUGUUAUGAAUUUUGCAACAGUUAAAAAGUUCCAAAGAUUUAUCUCAUGGGAAAUAGUAAUCGAAUCAUGAACUCAAU